GCAAGUCGAACGGAUCCUUCGGGAUUAGUGGCGGACGGGUGAGUAACACGUGGGAACGUGCCUUUUGGUUCGGAACAACUCAGGGAAACUUGAGCUAAUACCGGAUAAGCCUUUCGAGGGAAAGAUUUAUCGCCAUUAGAGCGGCCCGCGUAGGAUUAGCUAGUUGGUGGGGUAAAGGCCCACCAAGGCUACGAUCCUUAGCUGGUCUGAGAGGAUGAUCAGCCACAUUGGGACUGAGACACGGCCCAAACUCCUACGGGAGGCAGCAGUGGGGAAUCUUGCGCAAUGGGCGAAAGCCUGACGCAGCCAUGCCGCGUGAAUGAUGAAGGUCUUAGGAUUGUAAAAUUCUUUCACCGAGGACGAUAAUGACGGUACUCGGAGAAGAAGCCCCGGCUAACUUCGUGCCAGCAGCCGCGGUAAUACGAAGGGGGCUAGCGUUGCUCGGAAUUACUGGGCGUAAAGGGAGCGUAGGCGGAUAGUUUAGUCAGAGGUGAAAGCCCAGGGCUCAACCUUGGAAUUGCCUUUGAUACUGGCUAUCUUGAGUACGGAAGAGGUACGUGGAACUCCGAGUGUAGAGGUGAAAUUCGUAGAUAUUCGGAAGAACACCAGUGGCGAAGGCGACAUACUGGUCCGUUACUGACGCUGAGGCUCGAAAGCGUGGGGAGCAAACAGGAUUAGAUACCCUGGUAGUCCACGCUGUAAACGAUGAGUGCUAGUUGUCGGCAGGCAUGCCUGUCGGUGACGCAGCUAACGCAUUAAGCACUCCGCCUGGGGAGUACGGUCGCAAGAU
RNAcentral lists this ribosomal RNA (790 nucleotides) under uncultured microorganism. Its description in RNAcentral is "bacterial SSU rRNA". It matches the Rfam family "Bacterial small subunit ribosomal RNA", at positions 57 to 894 of the family's 1533-position model. The record is from RNAcentral.